UACGGAGGGUGCAAGCGUUGUCCGGAUUUAUUGGGUUUAAAGGGUGCGUAGGCGGUUAAUUAAGUCAGUGGUGAAAUCCUGGAGCUCAACUUCAGAACUGCCAUUGAUACUGGUUGACUUGAGUACAGACGAGGUUGGCGGAAUUGAUGGUGUAGCGGUGAAAUGCAUAGAUACCAUCAAGAACACCGAUUGCGAAGGCAGCUAACUAGGCUGUAGCUGACGCUGAGGCACGAAAGUGUGGGGAUCAAACAGG
RNAcentral lists this ribosomal RNA (253 nucleotides) under uncultured bacterium. RNAcentral's name for it is "partial 16S ribosomal RNA". It matches the Rfam family "Bacterial small subunit ribosomal RNA", at positions 524 to 776 of the family's 1533-position model. The record is from RNAcentral.